CCUACGGGAGGCAGCAGUGGGGAAUAUUGCACAAUGGGCGCAAGCCUGAUGCAGCCAUGCCGCGUGUGUGAAGAAGGCCUUCGGGUUGUAAAGCACUUUCAGCGGGGAGGAAGGCGUUAAGGUUAAUAACCUUGUCGAUUGACGUUACCCGCAGAAGAAGCACCGGCUAACUCCGUGCCAGCAGCCGCGGUAAUACGGAGGGUGCAAGCGUUAAUCGGAAUUACUGGGCGUAAAGCGCACGCAGGCGGUCUGUCAAGUCGGAUGUGAAAUCCCCGGGCUCAACCUGGGAACUGCAUUCGAAACUGGCAGGCUAGAGUCUUGUAGAGGGGGGUAGAAUUCCAGGUGUAGCGGUGAAAUGCGUAGAGGUCUGGAGGAAUACCGGUGGCGAAGGCGGCCCCCUGGACAAAGACUGACGCUCAGGUGCGAAAGCGUGGGGAGCAAACAGGAUUAGAUACCCUAGUAGUC
This 465-nucleotide ribosomal RNA is filed under the name uncultured Klebsiella sp. RNAcentral describes it as "bacterial SSU rRNA". It matches the Rfam family "Bacterial small subunit ribosomal RNA", at positions 338 to 795 of the family's 1533-position model. The record is from RNAcentral. Lineage: Bacteria; Pseudomonadati; Pseudomonadota; Gammaproteobacteria; Enterobacterales; Enterobacteriaceae.